Small nuclear RNA from Camelus dromedarius (Arabian camel), 125 nucleotides. NCBI's taxonomy places the organism in Eukaryota, Metazoa, Chordata, Mammalia, Artiodactyla, Camelidae. The record is from Ensembl.
AAAAAGGGUUUCUGUCCUGAGUGGCAUGAGUAAGGCAGCUCGAUUGCUCUGUGUGUGGAAUUGACAUCAGAUUUUGGAAGCAUGAUUUUCGGUAUUGACAAAUUGACAAAUUGCCCAAAUUUGAA